Molecule: long non-coding RNA, 828 nt
Organism: Trematomus bernacchii (emerald rockcod)
Lineage: Eukaryota; Metazoa; Chordata; Actinopteri; Perciformes; Nototheniidae
Exons: 4
Source: RefSeq, a predicted model, not a curated record
UCAAGCUACCCCACAGCACCCCCAAAAGAAAAUCUCUGGCGCCGAUACUGGCCGCGACACAUGACAUUAUUUGUCAGGUGUAUGCUUAAUACUUCUAAACCCCACGUUACUAUUUUAAACACUUUUGCAUUUCUCCCACUGUGCAGGCCCAUUCAUCCCUGUGAGUCUGGGACCAGUCCGGAAGUUUCUAACUGUUGAUGUUUAGCAAAAAUGCAUGUGUUUAGAACGUUUUAAGACUUGGAUAAGUGUGCACAAGUUGUAUACAAAUUUGUAAGUAGAUGUUUUGAAAUAGUUUUGCUGUUGUUGAACACAGCUCCCAUUUUCUUCCAUUCAUCAAGACUUUGCUGUAUGUUUGGAUUUUUGGUUUACAGGGGAGGCAGGCGAGAAACAAACAUCCCUUUCUUCUAGGAUACUAACUAACAUGUGGGUGCAGUUUGACAUACUUGAUGCAGUGAGCAGCAGUGAGGACCCAGUCAGAAGAGAUGAGGGUCCCUCCACAGACGUGCCUCCAGCGCCCACUGCCGUCCGACUGAAGAGAGAUCUGAGCACAGCAGAGAGAGGCCAGCUGUGAGGCCUGACGUCCUCUCCUGCCACCACCCUGCUCAGCACAGGGGGGAAGGUGGGGAGGCCACAUCCGUAGGCUGGGACAAGUGGGAGUGUCGGAGCUUACAGAGCUGAUCCAGUCGAUGUAGGAGCUGACUCGGGUGAACACGGUGGGCUUCUUUGGGAAAUUGCAGCUGAGCCCGGAUCCGAAGCUGACGAUGCCCUGGACCUCCCAGGCUCCAUCAGUCCUCCGGCAGUUCAGAGGGCCGCCAGAGUCCCCCUGAG